GCGCCCGUAGCUCAGAUGGAUAGAGCGACGGACUUCGAAUCCGUAGGCCGCAGGUUCGAGUCCUGUCGGACGCA
RNAcentral lists this transfer RNA (74 nucleotides) under Treponema sp. RNAcentral describes it as "tRNA-Arg". It matches the Rfam family "tRNA". Rfam says of the family: Transfer RNA (tRNA) molecules are approximately 80 nucleotides in length. Their secondary structure includes four short double-helical elements and three loops (D, anti-codon, and T loops). Further hydrogen bonds mediate the characteristic L-shaped molecular structure. tRNAs have two regions of fundamental functional importance: the anti-codon, which is responsible for specific mRNA codon recognition, and the 3' end, to which the tRNAs corresponding amino acid is attached (by aminoacyl-tRNA synthetases). tRNAs cope with the degeneracy of the genetic code in two manners: having more than one tRNA (with a specific anti-codon) for a particular amino acid; and 'wobble' base-pairing, i.e. permitting non-standard base-pairing at the 3rd anti-codon position. The record is from RNAcentral. Lineage: Bacteria; Pseudomonadati; Spirochaetota; Spirochaetia; Treponematales; Treponemataceae.